UACGGGGGGGGCAAGCGUUGUUCGGAAUUACUGGGCGUAAAGUGCGCGUAGGCGGGCCGUUAAGUCGGUCGUGAAAGCCCAGAGCUCAACUGUGGAAUUGCCUGCGAUACUGGCUGUCUGGAGCAUGAGAGAGGCGAGUGGAAUUCCGAGUGUAGAGGUGAAAUGCGUAGAUAUUCGCAGGAACACCAGUGGCGAAGGCGGCUCGCUGGAUCAUUGCUGACGCUGAGACGCGAAAGCGUGGGGAGCUAACAGG
This 253-nucleotide ribosomal RNA is filed under the name uncultured bacterium. Its description in RNAcentral is "partial 16S ribosomal RNA". It matches the Rfam family "Bacterial small subunit ribosomal RNA", at positions 524 to 776 of the family's 1533-position model. The record is from RNAcentral.